Molecule: long non-coding RNA, 317 nt
Filed under: Bos taurus (domestic cattle)
Lineage: Eukaryota; Metazoa; Chordata; Mammalia; Artiodactyla; Bovidae
Description: long non-coding RNA NONBTAT018334
Source: RNAcentral
AUUCCUUUUCCAGGUUAACCAGAAAGUUUCAAUAGUUGAUUUCCUGACCACAGAGAUAUAGAUUUAAGUGUUCUAUUAGGUUGCACACUAAUAUAGAUCUUAUCAAUUAGCAAUCCAUACUUCUUUUUUGGUUGUUUUACAGGUAUAAGUGUGCAAGUUAUCCUUAAGAGUUAGAAAUGUAUUUCCAUUUUUAUUUUAUGUGACUAUUAUUCUCCUAAACCACUAUAUAGGAUAAGCCCCAAAUAUGCUAUCUUUCCAAAGAUGAGAGAUUCUUCAGUGAUACUCAAUAAUCAAAUAUAAAAUUUAAAUGUUAUUUU